This 159-nucleotide non-coding RNA is filed under the name Drosophila virilis. RNAcentral's name for it is "Eukaryotic large subunit ribosomal RNA". It matches the Rfam family "Eukaryotic large subunit ribosomal RNA", at positions 1171 to 1329 of the family's 3401-position model. Lineage: Eukaryota; Metazoa; Arthropoda; Insecta; Diptera; Drosophilidae. The record is from Rfam by way of RNAcentral.
AACGUAAUGUUACGGUGCCCAAAUUAACAACUCAUACAGAAACCAUGAAAGGCGUUGGUUGCUUAAACAGCAGGACGGUGAUCAUGGAAGUCGAAAUCCGCUAAGGAGUGUGUAACAACUCACCUGCCGAAGCAACUAGCCCUUAAAAUGGAUGGCGCU